UCACUUUUGAUUAAAUAAAUAAUAAUCAUUUGCAUUUAACAAUAUGAAACAUCUUUCCCCCUCAAAAAAAUAAAUAAAUAUGAAACAUCUUCUUUCAUAUACUUUUUGGCUUGUUCAAAAAAAAUCUUCUUUCAUAUACUCCAUUGUAAACAGUAAGCAACAUCAAGUCUGACAGUGAUGCUCAGUAAAACAGCUAACAAAGAAACACGACCAUACUUCAAUGUAACCUCUUCAUUCUUCUCUCAAUCGUGUCCCUUUGCGCAAAUUCCUCUUGGAUUUCCCAAUUUUGCACCAAAAAUUUGCUACCGAUCCAAUUUAAAGUUGAAUUUUGAUUGCACAAAAUUGCACGCCAUGUUAAUCCAAAAUAAUAGAAAUAAGUCAGGCUGCUAAUAAUAUAUAAUAAAAUCAUAGUUUUUUUUAUAAGCAUAUUCAUAGAAAUUAUAUAAACUAACCAUUCAUGAAAAGUAAAGGGCGGAAUAUGGCAUCCUCGAGAAUUGGAUUGAAGAAUGAAAGGAAAAAAAAA
RNAcentral lists this long non-coding RNA (523 nucleotides) under Medicago truncatula (barrel medic). RNAcentral describes it as "long non-coding RNA (MTRU_LNC002635)". The record is from RNAcentral. Lineage: Eukaryota; Viridiplantae; Streptophyta; Magnoliopsida; Fabales; Fabaceae.